AGUUGGAUCUAUUCGAUUCAUCCAUCCUAUUGACAUCAGAUAUGUGUUUGUGAAAUUUAACAUCGUCAUCAUGCAUCAGGAAUCCACUGGAAACCACCCGAGGGGAAAGAGGAAGCAGAAAGCACUUAGACAAAGCAUUUGGCUGGUCACUGAGGACAUUUGCUCUUGUGUUGAUGAUGCCUGCUUGAAGGGGAGAAACUGGCCAUAGUGACCUCAUGCUGAUGUCGCCCACUUGAAUGGGAAAGAAACUGGCUAGCAUGCCCCUUGCCCCAUCCAUCUGAAGGAGAGAGAGAAAAGACUGCUCUUCAUGCCCACGUGUUGCCAGCCAGAAAGAUGGUACCUCCACUAGGAAAUUCUCUCCUUGCUCCAUUUCAUACCUGCUGCUUUCGGAAUUCCACUCUUCAGGACUGCAGCCCCCAACACUACUCUACCAUCUGCCUUCACCAUUGACAUGCUUGUACACUUUUAACAAAUAUGCUUCUGUUUAUUUUACUGAGAAUAAUCCAUAUGGUUUAUGCAGAAUAAAGUGAACAAGCUUUUAUUUUCUUGGUCCAGCUUACUUAUGAAAGUCUUGAUUGUAAAUUCACAAUUUAAAUGAACAGUAUAUUACUAAGUUAAUUGCACAAUUCUCAUUGACAUCAAUGGAACUUUUUAACCAAUUUAGCUGGAUCUGACCUCUUAUGUCCAACUAAAAGGUUAUGUUUAUAUAUUUCUCCACUGAUUGGGAGUACUUGAUUUGCAGGUUCCUUUGUAAGGACCUGUUAAUAUGGAUCAGAGAGAGCAGGUAGUAAAAGUUUUUGCAAGGCAUUUAUUUAAUCCUAUGUAUGAGAGGCCAGGAGGGA
Lacerta agilis (Sand lizard) is the source of this 842-nucleotide long non-coding RNA. RefSeq lists it as uncharacterized. The transcript has 4 exons. Lineage: Eukaryota; Metazoa; Chordata; Lepidosauria; Squamata; Lacertidae. The record is from RefSeq and is a predicted model, not a curated record.